GUCCAGUUUUCCCAGGAGACU
Molecule: microRNA, 21 nt
Filed under: Mus musculus (house mouse)
Lineage: Eukaryota; Metazoa; Chordata; Mammalia; Rodentia; Muridae
Description: mmu-miR-145b
Gene: mmu-miR-145b
Source: miRBase by way of RNAcentral